Molecule: ribosomal RNA, 120 nt
Filed under: Petromyzon marinus (sea lamprey)
Lineage: Eukaryota; Metazoa; Chordata; Hyperoartia; Petromyzontiformes; Petromyzontidae
Source: RNAcentral
GAUGACGGAUUUAUGAUCCUGAGUGCACCAAAUCUCAUUUGAUUUUGGAAACUAAGGAGGAUUCGAGCCUGGUUAGUGCUUGGAUGGGUAACCACCAGCGCAUAUCAGGUGUUAUAGGCA